Molecule: long non-coding RNA, 312 nt
Filed under: Homo sapiens (human)
Lineage: Eukaryota; Metazoa; Chordata; Mammalia; Primates; Hominidae
Description: HSALNT0232783
Source: RNAcentral
CAGGCCACUGCUCUACACAUGGCACCAUGAAAGACCAUCCCUCUGCACACGGCACCAUGAAAGCCCUUGGAUCCAAGAGAACCAGCCAGAACACCCUCCCCUUUGAGAGAGGAUGCCCCAGCUCAGGCCCAACCAAGGGCUGCUGUACAUCUGAUAAGGGGAGACCAGAGCUCUUUUCCCUUUAGUUUACCUCUGCUUCCAAGCCCGAGACAGGACUCUUGCCUCACUUCCUCUGGCCCCUGGAGCACCUGGAACCUGAUGUCCAGCCAAGAGGGGGGACACAGCUAUGAGCCAGUCCAUGGCAAAGACAAG